RNAcentral lists this ribosomal RNA (408 nucleotides) under uncultured bacterium. Its description in RNAcentral is "partial 16S ribosomal RNA". It matches the Rfam family "Bacterial small subunit ribosomal RNA", at positions 30 to 526 of the family's 1533-position model. The record is from RNAcentral.
AUUGAACGCUGGCGGCAGGCUUAACACAUGCAAGUCGAACGAAGUGGCGAACGGGUGAGUAACGCGUAAUCAACCUGCCCUUCAGAGGGGGACAACAGUUGGAAACGACUGCUAAUACCGCAUACUGAAGGAGGGGAUUGCGUCUGAUUAGCUAGUUGGAGGGGUAACGGCCCACCAAGGCGAUGAUCAUGAUCCGCUCUGAGAUGAUGAGCUGCCACAUUGGGACUGAGACACGGCCCAGACUCCUACGGGAGGCAGCAGUUGGGAAUCUUCCGCCAUGGACGAAAGUCUGACGGAGCAACGCCGCGUGAGUGAUGACGGCCUUCGGGUUGUAAAGCUCUGUUAAUCGGGACGCGGUACCGGAAUAGAAAGCCACGGCUAACUACGUGCCAGCAGCCGCGGUAAUUC